GACGUAGGGAGCGAGCGUUGUCCGGAUUCAUUGGGCGUAAAGAGCGCGCAGGCGGCUUGGUAAGUCGGAUGUGAAAACCCGGAGCUCAACUCCGGGCGUGCAUCCGAUACUGCCCGGCUAGAGGUAGGUAGGGGAGAUCGGAAUUCCUGGUGUAGCGGUGGAAUGCGCAGAUAUCAGGAAGAACACCGAUGGCGAAAGCAGCUCUCUGGGACGGUACUGACGCUGAGGCGCGAAAGCGUGGGGAGCGAACAGG
RNAcentral lists this ribosomal RNA (253 nucleotides) under uncultured bacterium. RNAcentral describes it as "partial 16S ribosomal RNA". It matches the Rfam family "Bacterial small subunit ribosomal RNA", at positions 524 to 776 of the family's 1533-position model. The record is from RNAcentral.